RNAcentral lists this ribosomal RNA (846 nucleotides) under uncultured bacterium. Its description in RNAcentral is "bacterial SSU rRNA". It matches the Rfam family "Bacterial small subunit ribosomal RNA", at positions 641 to 1502 of the family's 1533-position model. The record is from RNAcentral.
CUUGAGUUCGGUCGAGGCAGGCGGAAUUCGUGGUGUAGCGGUGAAAUGCUUAGAUAUCACGAAGAACCCCGAUUGCGAAGGCAGCUUACCAAGCCAUGACUGACACUGAGGCACGAAAGCGUGGGUAUCGAACAGGAUUAGAUACCCUGGUAGUCCACGCAGUAAACGAUGAUCACUAGGGAUUUGCGAUAGACAGUAAGUCCCCGAGCGAAAGCGUUAAGUAUCCCACCUGGGGAGUACGCCGGCAACGGUGAAACUCAAAGGAAUUGACGGGGGCCCGCACAAGCGGAGGAACAUGUGGUUUAAUUCGAUGAUACGCGAGGAACCUUACCCGGGCUUAAAUUGCAGAGGAAUGACCUGGAAACAGGUCAGUCUUCGGACUUCUGUGAAGGUGCUGCAUGGUUGUCGUCAGCUCGUGCCGUGAGGUGUCGGCUUAAGUGCCAUAACGAGCGCAACCCUUGUGGUCAGUUACUAACAGGUAAGCUGAGGACUCUGGCCAGACUGCCAUCGUAAGAUGUGAGGAAGGCGGGGAUGACGUCAAAUCAGCACGGCCCUUACGUCCGGGGCUACACACGUGUUACAAUGGGAGGUACAGAAGGCUGCGACCCGGCGACGGGCAGCUAAUCCCUAAAGCCUCUCUCAGUUCGGACUGGAGUCUGCAACCCGACUCCACGAAGCUGGAUUCGCUAGUAAUCGCGCAUCAGCCACGGCGCGGUGAAUACGUUCCCGGGCCUUGUACACACCGCCCGUCAAGCCAUGAAAGCCGGGGGUGCCUGAAGUGCGUAACCGCAAGGAGCGUCCUAGGGUAAAACCGGUAAUUGGGGCUAAGUCGUAACAAGGUAACCA